CACGGAGUUAGCCGGUGCUUCCUUUAGGGGUACCGUCAGGGCAGCGACGUAUUAGGUCGCUGCUGGUUCUUCCCCCUCGACAGGGCUUUACGACCCGAAGGCCUUCAUCACCCACGCGGCGUCGCUGCGUCAGGCUUUCGCCCAUUGCGCAAUAUCCCCCACUGCUGCCUCCCGUAGGAGUCUGGGCCGUGUUGCAGUCCCAGUGUGGCUGGCCAUCCUCUCAGACCAGCUAGCCAUCAUAGCCUUGGUAGGCCAUUACCCCACCAACUAGCUAAUGGCGCGCAGGCCCAUCCUCGGGUGACGGCUUACAAGUAGAGGCCGUCUUCACCGCAGAAGCCGAAACUCCCGUGGUCAUAUCCGGUAUUAGCCCGCCUUUCGGCGGGUUAUCCCGGGCUCGAGGGUAGGUUACCUACGUGUUACUCACCCGUGCGCCGCUUUACUCACUCCCGAAGGAGUUUUCUCGCUCGACUUGCAUGUGUUAGGCACGCCGCCAGCGUCGUCUGAGCCAGGAUCAA
Molecule: ribosomal RNA, 515 nt
Filed under: uncultured bacterium
Lineage: Bacteria
Description: partial 16S ribosomal RNA
Source: RNAcentral